AUGGCCCCGAGCUACGAGAUGGCCGCCUCCAUCCUGCUCUGCGCCGAGGACAGCAGCAGCAUCUUCGGCUUCAGCGACGGCGAGGAGGUGGAGGCGGCGGCGGGAGCGAUGGCGGGCGGGUCACCGUACUGCGGCGGCGGCGGCGAGCUGGCCGUGGAGUUCCCGCUGCCGUCCGAGGAGUGCGUGGCCCGCUGGGUGGCGACGGAGGUGGAGCACAUGCCCAGGAAGGACUACGCCGAGCGGCUCCGCGCCGGGGGCGUGGAUCUCCGCGUGCGGACGGACUCCAUCGACUGGAUAUGGAAGGUUCACACGUACUACGGCUUCGGCCCUGUCACUGCGUGCUUGGCCCUCAACUACAUGGACCGCUUCCUCUCGCUCUACCAGAUACCGGAGGGCAAGGCUUGGAUGACGCAGCUGCUAUCGGUGGCGUGCUUGUCUCUUGCUGCCAAGAUGGACGAAACUUCCGUGCCUCAGUCCAUCGACCUGCAGGCCGGGGACGCGCGGUACGUGUUCGAGGCGAAGACGAUCCAGAGGAUGGAGCUGCUGGUCCUGAGCACGCUCAAAUGGCGGAUGCAGGCCGUCACCCCCUUCUCCUACCUCGACUACUUCCUCCACCAGCUGAGCGGCGGCAAUGCGCCGUCGAGGCAGGCCGUCCGGGACGCCACGGAGCUCAUCCUCUGCAUAUCCAGAGGGACGAGCUGCCUGGAGUUCCGGCCCUCGGAGAUCGCCGCGACGGUGGCCGCCGCCGUGGCCGGGGAAGAACACGCCGCCCACAAGCCGGCCUGCUGCACCCACGUAGAUAAGGAGCGGGUGCUGAGUUGCCAUGAAGCGAUGAUCCAGGCCACCGGCGCCACCGUGCCGCCACGUAAAACCGCAGGCCUGAUGGGCAGAGCCUACUCCCCCGGCAUGUCUGCGCCGGGGAGCCCCACCGGGGUGCUGGACCUGGACGCCGGCUACCUCAGCUGCACAAGCGACGGCGCCAGCACGACCACCACCAUGCCAUCGUCGUCGCCCGCGAGUGCGAGCUCUGCCUUCGACAGCUCCCCCGUCAGCAGCAAGAGGAGGAAGAUCAGCAGAUCAUGA
This 1083-nucleotide ribosomal RNA is filed under the name Triticum aestivum (bread wheat). Its description in RNAcentral is "partial small subunit ribosomal RNA". The record is from RNAcentral. Lineage: Eukaryota; Viridiplantae; Streptophyta; Magnoliopsida; Poales; Poaceae.